This is a long non-coding RNA of Microplitis demolitor, 940 nucleotides long. RefSeq lists it as uncharacterized. NCBI's taxonomy places the organism in Eukaryota, Metazoa, Arthropoda, Insecta, Hymenoptera, Braconidae. The transcript has 3 exons. The record is from RefSeq and is a predicted model, not a curated record.
AUACUUGAUGUUUGAUAAAUAAAGACAGAAAACUUACACGAAGGAGAAAUACAGGCAAUGACUCUACUACGAGGAAUAUAUACUUAUAUAUUAGUUUAUUAUAACUAUAGCGUUUCCAGACUGACUCACUACUGUCGGACGUUGUUGGGGAAAAAAAAUAUAACCAUUUAUACAGCUUCAAAAUUAUCUGAUGACAACGGAUACACAUAUAUUAUUUUUUUUGCAUUACGCAUUUAGUCAUUAGAUAUUUUAUUGAUAUCAACCUCCAUUGACUCAUCGGGAUUUUACCCUGAAAAAAUUAUAAUUACUUUUUUUUAUAAGAUUUCAGUCAAUACUUAGGAGCGGAUGAGAAGGACAAGAUAAAUAUAUAUAGACUUGUAUAAUUAAUCAAUUGUCAUGCCAAUGGCACAACCAAAGCCGUAUAGUAAGGCCAGAAGUCUACACUAGUUUGUCAAGGUCGAGGUUUUUAAGCAUCACCGGCCGUAAGAUUUCUAGGACAAGCUUGUGUCAUAUCAGAGAAUUACUUAUAUUGUCGGUGACGAAAUAAACAAACAAUGAUAUUAAGUAAUCGAAGAUGAAUAAAAUUUAUAAUUAUAUUUUAAAGAAUGUGGCCUUGCACCUUAAUAUAAGUUUUCUUUUAAUCGAUUGGCCAAGUUCAAUGUCGUGUAGGUCGAAAGUUGAAUGGCCCAAUAUAGACGCAGACAUGCAACCACGCACCCAAGAUUUUCCCAGCUACUAAUAUUAUAUUAUAUAUAUAAUGCGACUACGCCCAAAAUACUCAAAUAUAACAACUCGAUCCAAUUGCAUCUUAAUAAUAAAAAUAAAAAAAAAUAAAACGCUUAUGGUUUAUAUAAAAAGAUAAUUAGGAGUGUCAAGGUUAUUUUGUAAACUAAAAUAUAAACAUAUGUGCUUCAGUAAUUUUUAAAUUAUAAGCUUUAAU